UGUGGAAGUUUCUAAGGGCGCAUGGUGGAUGCCUUGGCAACAGGAGCCGAAGAAGGACGUGGGAAUCUGCGAUAAGCCUGGUGGAGUCGAUAACCGGACGUUGAGACCAGGAUUUCCGAAUGGGGAAACCCCGCACGACGUGUCGUGUGACCACCGGUUGAACACAUAGACCGGUUGGAGGGAACGUGGGGAAGUGAAACAUCUCAGUACCCACAGGAAGAGAAAACAAAAGUGAUUCCGUUAGUAGUGGCGAGCGAACGCGGAUGGGGCUAAACCGUAUGUGUGUGAUACCCGGCAGGGGUUGCAUGUGCGGUGUUGUGGGCCCCUCCUUGUCAUGUCUGCCGGCAUGGCGCAGUGAGGUGCGGGCAUAUAGACGAACCAGUGUGGAUGCUGGACCGUAGAGGGUGAGAGUCCCGUAGUCGAAAUGUGUUCCGCCGCUGUUGGAGGGUCGCCCGAGUAGCACGGGGCCCGAGGAAUCCCGUGUGAAUCUGCCAGGACCACCUGGUAAGCCUGAAUACUACCUGUUGACCGAUAGCGGAUCAGUACCGUGAGGGAAUGGUGAAAAGUACCCCGGGAGGGGAGUGAAAUAGUACCUGAAACCAUGUGCCUACAAACCGUUGGAGCCUCCUUGUUGGGGUGACAGCGUGCCUUUUGAAGAAUGAGCCUGCGAGUUAGUGAUACGUGGCGAGGUUAACCCGUGUGGGGAAGCCGUAGCGAAAGCGAGUCUGAAUAGGGCGAUUGAGUCGCGUGUCCUAGACCCGAAGCGGAGUGAUCUACCCAUGGCCAGGUUGAAGCGCGUGUAAGAGCGCGUGGAGGACCGAACCCACUUCAGUUGAAAAUGGAGGGGAUGAGCUGUGGGUAGGGGUGAAAGGCCAAUCAAACUCCGUGAUAGCUGGUUCUCCCCGAAAUGCAUUUAGGUGCAGCGUCACGUGUUUCUUCCCGGAGGUAGAGCUACUGGAUGGACGAUGGGCCCUACAAGGUUACUGACUUCAGCCAAACUCCGAAUGCCGGGAAGUGAGAGCGUGGCAGUGAGACUGUGGGGGAUAAGCUUCAUAGUCGAGAGGGAAACAGCCCAGACCACCGGUUAAGGCCCCUAAGCGUGUGCUAAGUGGGAAAGGAUGUGGAGUUGCUGAGACAACCAGGAGGUUGGCUUAGAAGCAGCCACCCUUGAAAGAGUGCGUAAUAGCUCACUGGUCAAGUGAUUCCGCGCCGACAAUGUAGCGGGGCUCAAGUACACCGCCGAAACCGUGGCAUUCAGUUUUGCUGGAUGGGUAGGGGAGCGUCGUUCACGAGGUGAAGCCAGCGGGUAACUUCUGGUGGAUUGUGGACGAGUGAGAAUGCAGGCAUGAGUAGCGAAAGACGGGUGAGAAACCCGUCCGCCGGAUGACUAAGGGUUCCAGGGUCAAGCUAAUCUGCCCUGGGUAAGUCGGGACCUAAGGCGAGGCCGACAGGCGUAGUCGAUGGACAACGGGUUGAUAUUCCCGUACCAGUGAAGAACCGCCCAUGCUGAGCCGGUGAUACUAACCGCCCGAACCAUCCCGAACCCCGUCUUUGACGGGGUCGGUGGUGGGGAGCGCGGGACCUGAACCGGGGAGGCAAGCGCAUUAACAGGUGUGACGCAGGAAGGUAGCCGGGCCAGGCAAUGGAAUCGACCUGGUCUAAGGGUGUAGGGCUGCCGGUAGGUAAAUCCGCCGGCUAUGUGCUUGAGACCUGAUGGGCUCCCACGUGGUGGGUGAUCCGGUGAUCCUAUGCUGCCAAGAAA
RNAcentral lists this ribosomal RNA (1762 nucleotides) under Corynebacterium diphtheriae. RNAcentral's name for it is "bacterial LSU rRNA". It matches the Rfam family "Bacterial large subunit ribosomal RNA", at positions 1 to 1615 of the family's 2925-position model. The record is from RNAcentral. Lineage: Bacteria; Bacillati; Actinomycetota; Actinomycetes; Mycobacteriales; Corynebacteriaceae.